Molecule: ribosomal RNA, 465 nt
Filed under: uncultured bacterium
Lineage: Bacteria
Description: partial 16S ribosomal RNA
Rfam family: Bacterial small subunit ribosomal RNA
Source: RNAcentral
GACGAACGCUGGCGGCGUGCUUAACACAUGCAAGUCGAACGGAAAGGCCCUGCUUGCAGGGUACUCGAGUGGCGAACGGGUGAGUAACACGUGGGUGAUCUGCCCUGCACUUCGGGAUAAGCCUGGGAAACUGGGUCUAAUACCGGAUAGGAGCCAUUUUUAGUGUGAUGGUUGGAAAGUUUUUUCGGUGUAGGAUGAGCUCGCGGCCUAUCAGCUUGUUGGUGGGGUAAUGGCCUACCAAGGCGGCGACGGGUAGCCGGCCUGAGAGGGUGGACGGCCACAUUGGGACUGAGGUACGGCCCAGACUCCUACGGGAGGCAGCAGUGGGGAAGAUUGCACAAUGGGCGCAAGCCUGAUGCAGCGACGCCGCGUGGGGGAUGACGGCCUUCGGGUUGUAAACUCCUUUCGCUAGGGACGAAGCUUUUUGUGACGGUACCUAGAUAAGAAGCACCGGCUAACUACGUG